This 494-nucleotide ribosomal RNA is filed under the name uncultured bacterium. Its description in RNAcentral is "partial 16S ribosomal RNA". It matches the Rfam family "Bacterial small subunit ribosomal RNA", at positions 28 to 507 of the family's 1533-position model. The record is from RNAcentral.
GACGAACGCUGGCGGCGUGCUUAACACAUGCAAGUCGAACGGUGAAGCGCCUUCCUUUUUGGUGGGUGUGGAUGAGUGGCGAACGGGUGAGUAACACGUGAGUAACCUGCCCCCUUCUUCUGGAUAACCGCAUGAAAGUGUGGCUAAUACGGGAUAUUCUGGGUCUGUCGCAUGAUGGGUCUGGGAAAGAUAUUGUUUCGGUGGGGGAUGGGCUCGCGGCCUAUCAGCUUGUUGGUGGGGUGAUGGCCUACCAAGGCGGUGACGGGUAGCCGGCCUGAGAGGGUGGACGGUCACACUGGGACUGAGACACGGCCCAGACUCAUACGGGAGGCAGCAGUGGGGAAUAUUGCACAAUGGGCGCAAGCCUGAUGCAGCGACGCCGCGGGAGGGAUGGAGGCCUUCGGGUUGUGAACCUCUUUCGCCAGUGAAGCAGGCCUGCCUCGUUUGUGGGUGGGUUGACGGUAGCUGGAUAAGAAGCGCCGGCUAACUACGUG